This 4167-nucleotide long non-coding RNA is filed under the name Coffea arabica (coffee). RNAcentral's name for it is "long non-coding RNA (CARA_LNC004160)". Lineage: Eukaryota; Viridiplantae; Streptophyta; Magnoliopsida; Gentianales; Rubiaceae. The record is from RNAcentral.
CCUUAGUCCCAGCGCAGCCACCACCAGCUCUUUCUAUCCAACCUCGCCGCGCCGCCCAUCUCAUCCGCCACCAGCGAGCAGCCCGUUGCUCACUCCAUCGCACGCCGUCGUAGCGGCUGAAGUUCCCACAGUCAGGCAGCCGCCUGGUCUAGUGCGCCGCGCGCGCUCUGUUCCAGCUCGUCCAAGGCCAGCCCACGGACGCCGCCCUUCCCUCGCGUCCUCCACAGCUCCGUUGUCUUGCACACGCCUCCGCUUCCUCCCGGUCCACUACUGUCACCAGCUCUCCUCCACUGUCGUGCCUCUUUUUCUUAGCCACUACCACCCCAGUUUCUUCAUUCGGCCACUGGGAGAGGUAUUUGCUACUCAAUCUCCAAUUCUUGAUAGGCAUUGGAUUUACUUGGGGGUUUGUCAGUCAUUGGGUUUUCUGUCUUAACUGUUCGAUGCACCAGUGCUAGCAAUUGUGGUAUUUUCCCUUGUAUUAUUGUGCUAUUUUGCUAUACCCGUGGUACUGGGAAGUAACUGGACCUCUCUUUGGUACUUCUCUUUGGUUGGCUACGUGAUCAUUGUCUAAUCCGUAAGCUGUCUUCAUUGAACUUGUUGAUUUUGAGUUGCGAGUUUAGUUGGCCAACUGGAGCCAUUUAUUGAGAUUUUGGGUGAGCUUCAAUGCUGUGAUUGUUUGUUAAAUUCGGAGGAGAUUUUGAACCUUACGUGCUUAUUGAAUUGACUUGCUGACGACUAUUUGGCUUGCAUUGCUGAAGGAAUGAUUGAGGUUUUUGUGGGGGCUUUGCUUGAGUUAAUUCUGCUAUUGCAUAUUGAGUUGAGAUCCUGUGCCGUUUGACUUACUUUGUGAGGCUGGUCUUGCAUAAUUUCAUUGUUGGGGGCCCUCUGACUGAGAGUUUAAACUUUUGAAGUGGGAAGGCUUUGACUGGGCAUUUUUAAUUGCUGGAACUUUUCUUUUUGUUAUUGAUUGGGUUAUUACUGGGAAAUUAUUGCUUUGUUCUGCUGAGUUUCCUUUGCUAGUUGCAUUUGCUGGUUUCCAUACCUGUUGGAGCUUCUGUUGCUUUGAGCUGACUGUUGGGUGACAUGGUGAGACCAAAAUCCUCCUCUAGGUCUAGGGCAUCUCGUUCUCAACCACCUCCACAAGCAUCUAUUCCUGUGAAUACACCUUCCAACUUACCCUCUUCUUCUAGUGUUCGAACCCGCUUGGGUAGGGGUAGGGGUGCUCAGGUGGAUACCCCCGCUCAUUUUGGAGGGCACCUAACCUUCACUAGACCCGCCGAUCAGCAGAGAUAUGCUAAGGUCUGUGAGCGGCGUAUUAUACCUUGCAAAACUUGGGAAAAAUUAACCGUGAUGGGCCUAGGCAUACGAGAGGAGCUCGAGCAGAUGUUUACAGCCAUCGGGUGGCUCCCAUAUCUCGAUAUCUUAUGCCCCGCCUUUGUCGAGCUGACUCGGGAGUUUUAUUCUACCUUUGAGUUUGAGUUUCCCACGAGGUUCACCGUUGAGACGCCCAAUGUCAUCCGUUUCCGUCUGAUGGGUCGGGAAUUUAAUUUUUCAAUUACCCAAUUUAAUCUGGCAUUUGGGUUCAUUACUCGAGAGUAUGCUGAGACUAGGGAGUAUGGUGAGAGUGCAUGUGAUUACAUAGAGUCUUUUCUCUCCCGCUACCGCGCUGUGUGGGAAGACAUGUCUACCGAUCGGCACCGCUACGACCCUUCUAGGUCUAGGAGCUCCUUUCUUAAGGAUCCUAGCGCCCGAUACGUCCAUCGAUUCUUAGCCUACAGCUACUCCGGUCGGAAGGACAGCUCCGGCAUUCUCUCUCGACCCGAGUUUUUCUUCAUCUGGAGUAUGAAGAAUAACAUCAAAGUUAACUUGGGGUGUUGGUUGGCGGCGCAGUUCAAGACCGUCUUAGCCAAAAAGAACAAGCCCCUGAUCCUUGGGUCCUAUAUCACCCACUUGGCAACACAGUUGGGGAUUCUUAACCUGGAGGACCACGACCUACAUUUGGCGUGCGAGAUGGAGCUCUUGGAUGUAGAUUGCUUGGAGAAAAUGGGAGUCGUCGAGCGCCUGCCCGAUGGUUCCUACCAGUUCAUCCCUCCGGGACCAGUUCGAGCUCCAGGGGCGCAUCCUUCGACCCGAGCAGGGCCCUCCUCCUUUCCUGGGUCAGCCGAGGACACUGCUGGGCCAUCUUCUUCUGCGCCACCUCCACCGCAUGGAACUACUGAAUGGCAGCAACUCCGGGAGCAAGUUCAGGCUUUGGAAGCUCGGAUGGUCAACGUCGAUGCCAAUGUCGCUGGCAUAGCACAGAAUUUGGCGCAGUUUCUGCUUCAUACGGGCUUCGCUCCUUCGUGUCCACCUCGCCCACCAUUUUGACCUGGCUUCAGGGAAGUUUGGUUGCUUUCUCCCUCACUUUUGCUGUUUAUUUGACACAUUGAGGACACUGUGUCCUAUAGGUGUGGGAGGGUCUAUAGUCUUUUUAGUUUUUAGUAGUUUUUAGUUUUAUUUCUAGUUGCUUAUUUUCUUUCUUUCUUUCUUCUUCGUGCUUAUCCCUCAUGUGAAAAAAAUGAUAUUGGUUUAUUGACUCUAAUUCUACUUUUGCCGAGUUUUUAAAAAUAAAAAUGUAUCAGGUUCAUGUGGUUGGGUCCAAAAUAUCUCCUUGGUGAAUAUCGGAUUGCUUGACUCUUUUGAUUUCUUUGUUAACUUUUCUAGGCAUAGGGAAUGACUGUUGGCGUUUUAAUGUGAACUGGUCCAAUAUUGACUCCAGUUCUCCAUGUUUGGUAAUAAUAAGGCAAGCUGCUCCUAUGCGUGGUUAUUAGUGUUGUUAUGUUGCGUUUUUGCAUUGUUUUGCUGUGAAUAAACUUGACUGUACUCCGCUAUUAGUUGCUGCUGAGUAACCGGGAAUCUGCACCUAAAAGUGUCGAUUCUCGCGUCGAAAGGUGGUACUUUCUAUGAGUACGUGGUCGUAUAGUGGUAGGAGCUGAGUAACCGGGCUCUUUCAUCUAAAAAUGUUGGAGUUCGCAUCCUAAAGGCUCCGGCGGCUAGAGACUAAGUUUUUUUGUGUUAAUUAUUGCUAUAAAACAAAAAAAAAAGAAGAAAAAAAAGGAAAAAGAGAAGAAAGAAUAAAUAAUAGGGAAGCUUGCUGGUUUAUGGACUUAAUAUGGAGACUUGUGUGAUUAUUCGGACCAUUAACUGAUAAAUGUUAUGCGCCAUUCCUUUUCCUUAGAUUAGUUAAUUUGGAAAUUGAAGGAGUCUGCGGUUUAGAAGCUAUCUAGGGUGAUGGUUCUCGGAUUUUAAUCACUAGUGCUCGAUAUAUGAUCCUCCUUGAUAUCUUGGCAAUUUGGUGGAUAGAGCAAUGGCCAUUAUCAAAUUUUGGUGUUCGUUUACUAUUCUUAUGCUUGAGGAUAAGCAUGGUUUAAGUGUGGAGGAAUUGAUAGGGUGUAAUUUUCUCUUUUAUUUUAUUAUUAAUUUCCCCUAUUACCUGAUUUGAUGUGGAUUAAUUAGUAGAUUCUACUCCCUUUUCGUAAUUUACACUUAUUUCAGGGAGUAGAGCGAAAAUAUGAUAACAGGUGCACAUUUGACAGAAAAAGAGUUCCGAUGAUAGAGAUUGUCCCAGGGAUACUUUUGGAAAAGAAGAUGUUAAGCCCAUUUUGGUAAAUUCCGCAAGGAAAUGACGGCUGAAGGGCUUCACUCUGCUGAGGUGCCGCCGGCAAUUAAAAGGAGGGGGGAGAAAGCAAUGGGUGGCUGGCUUUUAUUCUUAGCUUUUUCGUCUGUAGCUGAGGAUGAAUUGUUGACUUUUCCUAGAGAUUUUCUUUUGGCUUCUCUUACGCAUGGCAAGAGAGCUUAGCUUUAGUGUUUUAACCUUUUCUUGUUAGCUAUUUGUGGCUUUUGUCUCCACGCAUGUCAGGAGCAAAGAAUUGGAGCCUACUUUCUUUGACUUUUCCUUCUUGUACCUUUCGAGUGGCUUUGCUCUACGGAAGUUAGGAACAAUGAAGAGCUUCAAUUGUUACCUGUGACUUUCAUUUUGCUCUCUAAUUGUUCGACGAAGUGCGGCUCUUGAAAUGCAGACAAUGGCCGUGAUUUUUGCUGAAAUUUUCCGCGGACGUAGUUCAUCAACUAUGAACUAAUUUUCUCAUUCUAGUCAAGAAACGACGGAUGCUUUGGGUUGCCUAAAAA